GUGACCAUCUUUAUUAAGACCUUGGAGGCCUUCUCUGCGACAUAGGUUUUCAUGUCAUGUUCAAGAAUUAGUUCACUGAGUUUCCAGUUCCAUUUAUGUGGAAACAAACAUUUUUCAUCUCUCUUGAAAGUGAUUGAACUGUGAUUUCAGCAUACUUCUUAUUCUGAAAAGUAGGCAACGGUACUCACUGACCUGCUCCACAAGUGAUGCCAUCCCAUGGAGCUGGACUGUGACAUUCAAAAAAUCCAAAUUGAAGAACAGCCUUGUGUGAUCCGGUCAUCAAACCUUGUUGGAUUGAGAUAUUCCAGCCAGUGGAAGAGAACAGGAGGUCAGCAAAACUCAAGUUAUUAGUGCUUCUGAGUAAGGAUCCAGUUGCUGGCUUGCAGCAGUCGAUCGACAAAUUAUAGAGGGAAUGGUGGCCUAUAAAACAUUGGUAAAAUGCUUGUUAUAUGACCUUUAUAUGUAUAACAUCAAAAUAACCAGUUCGAAUAUGCUUAAACAGGCUUUACACAGAGACUAUGAGACAAUUAUAGGAAACUAUCAGAUGCACAGCCAUGCAGAAAAUAAAAGUGAGAGAGACUGAUGAGAAUGUUUGGCAGCAAUAGGGAAUUUAUCAUGUUUUUGUGCACAUUAAAAAAGCAUCUGAAUUUUGUC
Musa acuminata subsp. malaccensis (wild Malaysian banana) is the source of this 654-nucleotide long non-coding RNA. RefSeq lists it as uncharacterized. Lineage: Eukaryota; Viridiplantae; Streptophyta; Magnoliopsida; Zingiberales; Musaceae. The record is from RefSeq and is a predicted model, not a curated record.